UCGGGCAAAUGUACAGCGGAACCUUUAACCGCUAAAGUGAAGCGCCUUGCCAAGAAGUGACCUGUGAAUGAGGUUGCGUUUGUAAGAAAAGCAAAAUGCAUAGACAUUUUGGCCGCCAGAGAACUGUGAAUUAUGGUAAUCAUUUGCAAAUGCAAGCAGUCCGUUGCCGGUGGAUUGCAAACUGCAACAGGGUUCAGGACAACAAAUAAAGGCAUGAGCAGUCAGUGCAUUCACCACUGGCUGUUUUUG
This 249-nucleotide non-coding RNA is filed under the name unclassified sequences. RNAcentral's name for it is "FuFi-1 RNA". It matches the Rfam family "FuFi-1 RNA". The record is from Rfam by way of RNAcentral.